Molecule: ribosomal RNA, 496 nt
Filed under: uncultured bacterium
Lineage: Bacteria
Description: partial 16S ribosomal RNA
Rfam family: Bacterial small subunit ribosomal RNA
Source: RNAcentral
GAUGAACGCUGGCGGCGUGCCUAAUACAUGCAAGUCGUGCGAACAGACGAGGAGCUUGCUCCUCUGACGUUAGCGGCGGACGGGUGAGUAACACGUGGAUAACCUACCUAUAAGACUGGGAUAACUUCGGGAAACCGGAGCUAAUACCGGAUAAUAUAUUGAACCGCAUGGUUCAAUAGUGAAAGACGGUUUUGCUGUCACUUAUAGAUGGAUCCGCGCCGCAUUAGCUAGUUGGUAAGGUAACGGCUUACCAAGGCAACGAUGCGUAGCCGACUUGAGAGGGUGAUCGGCCACACUGGAACUGAGACACGGUCCAGACUCCUACGGGAGGCAGCAGUAGGGAAUCUUCCGCAAUGGGCGAAAGCCUGACGGAGCAACGCCGCGUGAGUGAUGAAGGUCUUCGGAUCGUAAAACUCUGUUAUUAGGGAAGAACAAAUGUGUAAGUAACUAUGCACGUCUUGACGGUACCUAAUCAGAAAGCCACGGCUAACUACGU